AGCAGUCGCCGCGGUAAUGCGAAGGGGGCUAGCGUUGUUCGGAUUUACUGGGCGUAAAGCGCACGUAGGCGGACUUUUAAGUCAGGAGUGAAAUCCCGGGCUCAACCCCGGAACUGCCUUUGAUACUGGGAGUCUUGAGUUCGAGAGAGGUGAGUGGAAUUGCGAGUGUAGAGGUGAAAUUCGUAGAUAUUCGCAGGAACACCAGUGGCGAAGGCGGCUCACUGGCUCGAUACUGACGCUCAUGCACGAAAGCGUGGGGAGCAAACAGGAUUAGAGACCCCUGUAGUCCCUGUCUCUUAUACC
RNAcentral lists this ribosomal RNA (303 nucleotides) under uncultured bacterium. Its description in RNAcentral is "partial 16S ribosomal RNA". It matches the Rfam family "Bacterial small subunit ribosomal RNA", at positions 507 to 808 of the family's 1533-position model. The record is from RNAcentral.